RNAcentral lists this ribosomal RNA (484 nucleotides) under uncultured organism. RNAcentral's name for it is "bacterial SSU rRNA". It matches the Rfam family "Bacterial small subunit ribosomal RNA", at positions 28 to 507 of the family's 1533-position model. The record is from RNAcentral.
GAUGAACGCUAGCGGGAGGCCUAAUACAUGCAAGUCGAACGGUAACAGGAAUAGCAAUAUUUGCUGACGAGUGGCGUACGGGUGCGUAACACGUACACAAUCUGCCUUAUACUGGAGCAUACCCCCAAGAAAUUGGGAUUAAUUCUCCAUAAUAUAUUUGAGGGGCAUCCUUUGAAUAUUAAAACUCCGGUGGUAUAAGAUGAGUGUGCGCCCGAUUAGAUAGUUGGUGAGGUAACGGCUCACCAAGUCAACGAUCGGUAGCUGGUCUGAGAGGACGAUCAGCCACACGGGCACUGAGACACGGGCCCGACUCCUACGGGAGGCAGCAGUAGGGAAUAUUGGACAAUGGGCGCAAGCCUGAUCCAGCCAUCCCGCGUGAAGGAUUAAGGCCCUCUGGGUUGUAAACUUCUUUUCUCUGGGAAUAAAAAGUGGGAUUUAUCCUGCCUUGAAGGUACCAGAGGAAUAAGCACCGGCUAACUCCGUG